AGUACCUAUUCAAUGUUUGGACACUUCCAACUUCCUUUGAAUUGCUUUUCAUCUUUCAUAUAUCAAUUCAAUGUUUUCUUCGUCUCGUUGACUUUCACCAAUAAACUUUGUAAUCAUAUAAAUUGCCAGACUGUUAAAUUAUUGCAGAACCAUUGAUGUUAUACUGGAGAAAGAUGGAUAAAAUUCAAGGAAAGGGUCAAAUUUACUCCUCUACUAUACGAAAGU
RNAcentral lists this long non-coding RNA (225 nucleotides) under Capsicum annuum. Its description in RNAcentral is "long non-coding RNA (CANN_LNC000363)". The record is from RNAcentral. Lineage: Eukaryota; Viridiplantae; Streptophyta; Magnoliopsida; Solanales; Solanaceae.